RNAcentral lists this long non-coding RNA (265 nucleotides) under Carica papaya (papaya). RNAcentral's name for it is "long non-coding RNA (CPAP_LNC011421)". Lineage: Eukaryota; Viridiplantae; Streptophyta; Magnoliopsida; Brassicales; Caricaceae. The record is from RNAcentral.
ACGAUAGAGCUUGGCUGAGCCGCCGCAAAAUAGAAUGAAAACCGUUGGUAAGGCCAUGUUUUCCCCCUCCUUUCUAUAAAAAAAACCUAUUUUCUACGAUUUAAAUAAAUUUCUACCAAGAACCAGCCAAAAUUUGUUUGGCUGAGAUGGAGAAGUGCCAGAGAAUGAGGACCAGGCAGCGAAGCUCGAUGCCGUUGCUGCCGCGCCGGAACCCCAACCCGACCCUCAGUGAAUUUUUUCUACAUUUUUCAUGAUUCUUUACAUA